AGUGAACGCUGGCGGUAGGCCUAACACAUGCAAGUCGAACGGCAGCACAGUAAGAGCUUGCUCUUACGGGUGGCGAGUGGCGGACGGGUGAGGAAUACAUCGGAAUCUACUUUUUCGUGGGGGACAACGUAGGGAAACUUACGCUAAUACCGCAUACGACCUACGGGUGAAAGCAUGGUAUCUUCGGACCUUGCGCGAUUGAAUGAGCCGAUGUCGGAUUAGCUAGUUGGCGGGGUAAAGGCCCACCAAGGCGACGAUCCGUAGCUGGUCUGAGAGGAUGAUCAGCCACACUGGAACUGAGACACGGUCCAGACUCCUACGGGAGGCAGCAGUGGGGAAUAUUGGACAAUGGGCGCAAGCCUGAUCCAGCCAUACCGCGUGGGUGAAGAAGGCCUUCGGGUUGUAAAGCCCUUUUGUUGGGAAAGAAAAGCAGCAGGUUAAUACCCCGCUGUUCUGACGGUACCCAAAGAAUAAGCACCGGCUAACUUCGUG
RNAcentral lists this ribosomal RNA (492 nucleotides) under uncultured bacterium. RNAcentral's name for it is "partial 16S ribosomal RNA". It matches the Rfam family "Bacterial small subunit ribosomal RNA", at positions 29 to 507 of the family's 1533-position model. The record is from RNAcentral.